UACGUAGGCGGCUUUUUAAGUCGGAUGUGAAAUCCCUGAGCUUAACUUAGGAAUUGCAUUCGAUACUGGGAAGCUAGAGUAUGGGAGAGGAUGGUAGAAUUCCAGGUGUAGCGGUGAAAUGCGUAGAGAUCUGGAGGAAUACCGAUGGCGAAGGCAGCCAUCUGGCCUAAUACUGACGCUGAGGUACGAAAGCAUGGGGAGACAAACA
This 208-nucleotide ribosomal RNA is filed under the name uncultured bacterium. RNAcentral's name for it is "partial 16S ribosomal RNA". It matches the Rfam family "Bacterial small subunit ribosomal RNA", at positions 568 to 774 of the family's 1533-position model. The record is from RNAcentral.